UCAAUACGCACCUCAUAGACCCCUUAAGGGCUGUCAAGUACCAGAUUAGCAGUCGUUUCUUCCCCGGAAGGUAUCAGAAUCAGAGGUUCCUACUACUCCUUUUUUUUUUGUCUUUCCAUGCCCCUUGGCAGUCCUCAUUCCAUCUGACCAUUUGAUUUCUUUCUUUUUUCGUUUGUUUAUGGUUCAGGCGUUUCUAGUACUGUUCCUUUUUUUUUUUUUUUUUUUUUUAUGCUAGAUCAACCUUGAUUCCUCUUUCGUUCGCAACAUGCCUCGGCAGCUUGCUGGACAGCACUCCAUAAGUGCGCUAAUUCGAACUCAACAGUAUGAGUUAUCUCUACCUGUCAAACAACUUGAUCCAUCGGAUGCCCCUCUUCUGCUUGGGACUUUGCCAUCAUGUCAUCAACAUGGCAUUUGCUUUCACGAUGAAUCAUAUCAUGAAACAAAGUCACCCUAGACUUCUGAUACUUGGCACCGGCCUUCUCGAUACUGAACGACAUCACCUUAUAACCAGAAGGUGCCCCUUGUGUGAUGGACAUGGUUUACGUCAUAUCAUCUGGCAACAGUUCAAUCUGGUCUCGGCCAAGAAGCCAUCCAUGAAGAUAAACUGAG
Molecule: long non-coding RNA, 609 nt
Filed under: Lathyrus oleraceus (garden pea)
Lineage: Eukaryota; Viridiplantae; Streptophyta; Magnoliopsida; Fabales; Fabaceae
Description: Pisum sativum (pea) long non-coding RNA (PSAT_LNC037746)
Source: RNAcentral